This 333-nucleotide ribosomal RNA is filed under the name uncultured bacterium. RNAcentral describes it as "bacterial SSU rRNA". It matches the Rfam family "Bacterial small subunit ribosomal RNA", at positions 568 to 899 of the family's 1533-position model. The record is from RNAcentral.
CAUGCAGGCGGUCGGACGCGUUUCCAGUGACAGCGGGUGGCUUACCUACCCGAGUAUUGGAAAGACGGUUUGACUUGAGGACUCGAGAGGGACACGGAAUUCCGGGUGGAGUGGUGAAAUGCGUAGAGAUCCGGAGGAACAUCGAAGGCGAAGGCAGUGUCCUGGCGAGUAACUGACGCUGAGGUGCGAAAGCUAGGGGAGCGAACGGGAUUAGAUACCCCGGUAGUCCUAGCCGUAAACGAUGACCACCAGGUGUGGGAGGUAUCGACCCCUUCCGUGCCGGAGUUAACACACUAAGUGGUCCGCCUGGGGAGUACGGUCGCAAGGAUUAAA